CAGCAGCCACGGGAAUACGUAGGGUGCAAGCGUUAAUCGGAAUUACUGGGCGUAAAGCGUGCGCAGGCGGUUCGGAAAGAAAGAUGUGAAAUCCCAGAGCUUAACUUUGGAACUGCAUUUAUAACUACCGGGCUAGAGUGUGUCAGAGGGGGGUGGAAUUCCACGUGUAGCAGUGAAAUGCGUAGAUAUGUGGAGGAACACCGAUGGCGAAGGCAGCCCCCUGGGAUAACACUGACGCUCAUGCACGAAAGCGUGGGGAGCAAACAGGAUUAGAUACCCCUGUAGUCCCUGUCUCUUAUAC
RNAcentral lists this ribosomal RNA (301 nucleotides) under uncultured bacterium. RNAcentral's name for it is "partial 16S ribosomal RNA". It matches the Rfam family "Bacterial small subunit ribosomal RNA", at positions 509 to 807 of the family's 1533-position model. The record is from RNAcentral.